UGAGGAAUAUUGGUCAAUGGGCGCGAGCCUGAACCAGCCAAGUAGCGUGAAGGAUGACUGCCCUAUGGGUUGUAAACUUCUUUUAUAUGGGAAUAAAGUUUUCCACGUGUGGAAUUUUGUAUGUACCAUAUGAAUAAGGAUCGGCUAACUCCGUGCCAGCAGCCGCGGUAAUACGGAGGAUCCGAGCGUUAUCCGGAUUUAUUGGGUUUAAAGGGAGCGUAGGUGGACAGUUAAGUCAGUUGUGAAAGUUUGCGGCUCAACCGUAAAAUUGCAGUUGAUACUGGCUGUCUUGAGUACAGUAGAGGUGGGCGGAAUUCGUGGUGUAGCGGUGAAAUGCUUAGAUAUCACGAAGAACUCCGAUUGCGAAGGCAGCUCACUGGACUGCAACUGACACUGAUGCUCGAAAGUGUGGGUAUCAAACAGGAUUAGAUACCCUGGUA
This 440-nucleotide ribosomal RNA is filed under the name uncultured bacterium. RNAcentral's name for it is "bacterial SSU rRNA". It matches the Rfam family "Bacterial small subunit ribosomal RNA", at positions 355 to 792 of the family's 1533-position model. The record is from RNAcentral.